RNAcentral lists this ribosomal RNA (492 nucleotides) under uncultured bacterium. RNAcentral's name for it is "partial 16S ribosomal RNA". It matches the Rfam family "Bacterial small subunit ribosomal RNA", at positions 29 to 507 of the family's 1533-position model. The record is from RNAcentral.
AGUGAACGCUGGCGGUAGGCCUAACACAUGCAAGUCGAACGGCAGCACAGUAAGAGCUUGCUCUUACGGGUGGCGAGUGGCGGACGGGUGAGGAAUACAUCGGAAUCUACUUUUUCGUGGGGGAUAACGUAGGGAAACUUACGCUAAUACCGCAUACGACCUACGGGUGAAAGCAGGGGAUCUUCGGACCUUGCGCGAUUGAAUGAGCCGAUGUCGGAUUAGCUAGUUGGCGGGGUAAAGGCCCACCAAGGCGACGAUCCGUAGCUGGUCUGAGAGGAUGAUCAGCCACACUGGAACUGAGACACGGUCCAGACUCCUACGGGAGGCAGCAGUGGGGAAUAUUGGACAAAGGGCGAAAGCCUGAUCCAGCCAUACCGCGUGGGUGAAGAAGGCCUUCGGGUUGUAAAGCCCUUCUGUUGGGAAAGAAAAGCAGCAGGUUAAUACCCCGCUGUUCUGACGGUACCCAAAGAAUAAGCACCGGCUAACUUCGUG